CACUAAAUUGGGUGGGGGUGAAGGGAGUGCCAAUUUCAUGAUCAAAUUCAUUUGGUAGGGGUAAUUGAUAAUUGUGGCCUUUUACCACAAUUAUAACAUAGUAAUUGCUAUAAUUAUGUAAUUGUUAUAAUUAUGUUUAUUAUAUACAUAGUAAUGGCCAACUUGCAUGUUAGACGAAAUUUUAAUCUAAGCAGAGAAAAGGGAAUCAAACACCACAGCUAAAAAGAACAUAUUGAAAUUAGUAAAAGUGCAAAAUUUGGUUGCGAAAUGUUGUAAAGCUUGGAAAAUAUAGCCUUGCAAAGUUUGCAU
This is a non-coding RNA of Paramuricea clavata, 309 nucleotides long. The record is from the annotation of a GenBank genome assembly. NCBI's taxonomy places the organism in Eukaryota, Metazoa, Cnidaria, Anthozoa, Malacalcyonacea, Plexauridae.